Molecule: small nucleolar RNA, 119 nt
Filed under: Sorex araneus (European shrew)
Lineage: Eukaryota; Metazoa; Chordata; Mammalia; Eulipotyphla; Soricidae
Source: RNAcentral
GUGCACAGUUGUUCUUUACGUCAAGAGAAAAGAUAUUUGCAAUGUGCUAAGCUAACCUUUGGAGGUAAGUUAGCAGCAUAACUUAUUUAGCCAUUGCUCUCAGUCUUAUUCAGACAAGU